UGGACCAGUGAUGAUGACUGGUGGCAGAUGAGUCAUGGAUGUUGAAUACAUGUCUGGAACUCUGGGGUCCAA
RNAcentral lists this small nucleolar RNA (72 nucleotides) under Pteropus vampyrus (large flying fox). Its description in RNAcentral is "Small nucleolar RNA SNORD113/SNORD114 family (ENSPVAG00000026346.1)". It matches the Rfam family "Small nucleolar RNA SNORD113/SNORD114 family". Rfam says of the family: The imprinted human domain at 14q32 contains two clusters of tandemly repeated small nucleolar RNAs named 14q(I) and 14q(II) snoRNAs. These two clusters are named SNORD113 and SNORD114 respectively in the HGNC approved gene symbol nomenclature. Lineage: Eukaryota; Metazoa; Chordata; Mammalia; Chiroptera; Pteropodidae. The record is from Rfam by way of RNAcentral.